CUGGGUUACGGGGAUAUGUACCCUGAGACGUGGUCGGGAAUGCUGGUGGGUGCCCUCUGCGCCUUGGCUGGUGUGCUGACCAUUGCUAUGCCUGUGCCCGUCAUCGUCAACAAC
Molecule: non-coding RNA, 114 nt
Organism: Larimichthys crocea (large yellow croaker)
Lineage: Eukaryota; Metazoa; Chordata; Actinopteri; Sciaenidae
Source: Rfam